AUGGAAUGACUCAUGUCUGCUGGAUUAAUUACUUGUUUUUCCCUACCCUCCUUAUAAUCUCUUGAUUCUCAGUUCUAAGAGUCAGAGGACUUUGCUCAGUGUUGUAUCCUCCAGCCUUGGACUAAGAUACAGAAAAGUGUCUCCAUAAGUAUUAUUAAGUAUUUCUAGGAAAAAUGAGUAACUUGAUCAAGGGAGCUUACCUCGACAGUGAUUUAGGCCUGUAUUGUUUUGUAGGGGGACAGCUUAGAACUGACAAAUUAAUGAAGUGCUACUUUGAAUAGUUUUGUAAAGGUUAACCUUUAAUAAUUUUCUGUGUUUUAGACAUUUAGUAAGUGAAUCUAAAGUUAGUUAAGAUGUACAUAUGUCUAGAACCCAAGGAAAAUAUGCAACUGAAAACUCUCAGUAUUGUUUCAUUAUUUUCUGUAAUUGAUAUGUUUUUUUUCAUUCCAGAGUCUCUCUGCAGAAGGCCACAAAUUGUCUAGCUCUCAAAAGGAUUAGGAUGCCCUCAGUGGCUCAGUAGCCAGGGUAGAUCCUGUCUUUGGUAAUCAGCAGCUACAUCUGGCUACUGGGUCUCUGGUGGCAUCAUCUAGCUUCAGCUAUGGUACCCAUAACAACGUUAUUGAAAUAAUAGCUUUAUCUAGAGCAACACACACAUGCACUGAUAGGCACACACACAGUUUUCAGUUCUAAUCUUCCAGUCGAUUUUGGAAGUCAUUCAGAGUUUGAAGAAUGAUGAGGAUAUUUGGGCCAUUGAUUGGUUUUCCUUCUUGUCCUCUUCUUUCCUCCCAUGAAUAUAUCAUUUUCUCUUUAGCUCUCUAUGUAUCAUCUUCCUAAAUAAUAUCUAUCAUUUCCUUAUCUGUACUUCCAUACAUCUCUUGACCUUUACAGGUCAUUUUAAAAUAGCAUGAUGAAUGACCACCAAUAGAAUUAUUUGAGGAAAUUUCACCUAUUGGACCCUGGUCUGUUUCUGUUCUUCCUCCAUCAUUGUCCCACGAUGUAUAUGAAGAACUCUCCAGUCUCCAUAGAUUCUGAACAUUUUAUUAUGUUGCAACAACUCACUACACUGUUUGCUCCCUGAAAGCAUACUCUAGAAUUUAAUGGACUGUCCACUACCACUGACAAUUGCCUAGGAAAACAUAGGAGCAGCUAUCUGAUGAAAUAACAAGGAGCUUACAUAUAAAGAGUUCAAGAAUGGCUUUCCAUGAUGAGAAGAAGGAAAUGGAAAUUGCUUCUAAAACACAGAUUUUAUAAUGUGGGUUGUCUACUCUUUUGAUAAAUAAAUGGAAACAUAGAAAUAAUUUUAGAAAGUAGCAAGGCAGGAUAAAAAUUUAUUAAUUGUUAUGUUAUAUAAACUAGAGACUUUAAUGAAGAAUUUAAGUGUUUUACAUUGUGACUUAACAAAUAAAAAAGGAGAAAAGGAGUACAAGUAAUGCAAAGAUCAAUGCUUGUAUAUAAUUAAUUGUUUAAUGAGUUUUUGUCACCUUGUGCUGAAUUUAAUGAAAAUAAAGCAAAUGACUUAUAAUUUUAAAAGAU
Rattus rattus (black rat) is the source of this 1533-nucleotide long non-coding RNA. RefSeq lists it as uncharacterized. The record is from RefSeq and is a predicted model, not a curated record. Lineage: Eukaryota; Metazoa; Chordata; Mammalia; Rodentia; Muridae. The transcript is spliced from 2 exons.